CUUCUUUCUUAGAAUCAGAAUCUAUAAAACUAUAAACAGUGGGGAUGGCUGGUAAAAAAGAGGAAAGUUCUUUAUUCUAGAAGGAUCUUCUGA
This 93-nucleotide small nucleolar RNA is filed under the name Sorex araneus (European shrew). Its description in RNAcentral is "Small nucleolar RNA SNORD22 (ENSSARG00000018562.1)". Lineage: Eukaryota; Metazoa; Chordata; Mammalia; Eulipotyphla; Soricidae. The record is from RNAcentral.